Molecule: ribosomal RNA, 583 nt
Filed under: uncultured bacterium
Lineage: Bacteria
Description: partial 16S ribosomal RNA
Rfam family: Bacterial small subunit ribosomal RNA
Source: RNAcentral
UGGGGAAUUUUGGACAAUGGGCGAAAGCCUGAUCCAGCAAUGCCGCGUGUGUGAAGAAGGCCUUCGGGUUGUAAAGCACUUUUGUCCGGAAAGAAAUCCUUGGCUCUAAUACAGUCGGGGGAUGACGGUACCGGAAGAAUAAGCACCGGCUAACUACGUGCCAGCAGCCGCGGUAAUACGUAGGGUGCAAGCGUUAAUCGGAAUUACUGGGCGUAAAGCGUGCGCAGGCGGUUUGCUAAGACCGAUGUGAAAUCCCCGGGCUCAACCUGGGAACUGCAUUGGUGACUGGCAGGCUAGAGUAUGGCAGAGGGGGGUAGAAUUCCACGUGUAGCAGUGAAAUGCGUAGAGAUGUGGAGGAAUACCGAUGGCGAAGGCAGCCCCUGGCCAAUACUGACGCUCAUGCACGAAAGCGUGGGGAGCAAACAGGAUUAGAUACCCUGGUAGUCCACGCCCUAAACGAUGUCAACUAGUUGUUGGGGAUUCAUUUCCUUAGUAACGUAGCUAACGCGUGAAGUUGACCGCCUGGGGAGUACGGUCGCAAGAUUAAAACUCAAAUGAAUUGACGGGGUCAUAGCUGUUUCCU